Molecule: transfer RNA, 74 nt
Filed under: Pseudomonas phage vB_PaeM_PS119XW
Lineage: Duplodnaviria; Heunggongvirae; Uroviricota; Caudoviricetes; Chimalliviridae
Description: tRNA-Met
Rfam family: tRNA
About the family: Transfer RNA (tRNA) molecules are approximately 80 nucleotides in length.
Source: RNAcentral
GGGUCUAUAGCUCAGUUGGUUAGAGCAGGCGACUCAUAAUCGCUUGGUCGUAGGUUCGAGUCCUACUGGACCCA